CUGCGGGUUGAGGUGGGUAUUCAGAUGCCAGCCUGCAGCCCACUUACAUUGUUUCUUUUGGACUGACACCUUGCCGGAUGCUCAGAUGCCCACAGCGCAGGGGAAGGGACAGCCUAGAGUCCGAGGCGUGGGCAGGGAGCUGGCCCCCGUCCAUUGCUGCAGCUCCGCAGCAGCAGGACAGCCCUGGGAGGUGGAGGUGAGUCACCAGGACCUGGGAGAGGAAACGGCGCUCGCUAAAUUUAAACCCCCUUCCUGAUGUAUUUGUGAGGUUGUUCUGUUACUUUCCUGGGGAAAUGCACCAAACAGAGAAAAUGGCAGGGACACAGAGAAGAACGUUAUCGAGUUAGGUGGUAAUUAUUAAUCCUGUGAUUUUCAGACGGACUCCGUUCAUUUGGAUAAGCAGAGGAAAUUUGGCAGAAACGACCAAAUGCAAACUACGUGUAGCAGCCUGAGACCGGCCGUCUACUGAAACAAAGGAUGCAGUUCAGUCGGAAACCACGCUUAGCAGUGUAGCUGUCUUUAGCCAUCCAGGCCCUGAGAACCAAUGAACAACCCAGCUUGGCCGCUUAGAACAUUUUUUCUGUACUUGAGUUAAAUAGAUAUCCAAGAACCAUUACUCAUUUUUAAUGUGGAGAAGUCGGUAUUCUAUUCUCGUGUUCUAUGUUUUUUAAAGCGGCAAUUUGAAUUAUUUCGUGCGAUAGAAAACCUUAAACACAAAGUAACGUUUCUAACAAAAGGGCUGUCGAUCAAGUGACAAACACGUCCUACUUUUAGAUACGAGCACGACUGAGGCAACGGCAUGAAAACGCCUAAAGUGGGCUGCUGGGGAGACAAGAUCUGGCCGCGAAUGGAACUCGCGGCAGCUCAUUAACGGGACCGUCCAGCAGGAAGCCACCCUGGGAUGCUGCCACAGCUGAGCCUGGAGGUGACCGUGACCCUGGCUGACGUCGGACUGCAGCUUUGUAAGGGAGACUGAGCCGGGACCCAGACCUACAAAAGCUGAGAUGAUAAACACUGUUUUAAGCUGCUGUGUGUCGCAGUGACUCGUGUGGCAGUGGAUUUCUAGCAGAGCCGUCGUUCCUGUCUGGCUUCUGUCAGCUCAACACUCUGUAGGGCCACCCAUGCUGUCGUGCAUGCCAGCGGUGGACUUUUCAUUGCUGAGUAAUAUUUCAUUCCAUUGCAUGCUCGCACCUCGGUUUGUUGAACUGUCUACCUGUUGAUGGGCUCUGGGACAUAGGCAGUUCUGGGCUAUUAUGAGUAAAGCUGCU
RNAcentral lists this long non-coding RNA (1268 nucleotides) under Pan troglodytes (chimpanzee). RNAcentral describes it as "long non-coding RNA NONPTRT000807". Lineage: Eukaryota; Metazoa; Chordata; Mammalia; Primates; Hominidae. The record is from RNAcentral.